Long non-coding RNA from Sarcophilus harrisii (Tasmanian devil), 633 nucleotides. RefSeq lists it as uncharacterized. The transcript is spliced from 2 exons. The record is from RefSeq and is a predicted model, not a curated record. Lineage: Eukaryota; Metazoa; Chordata; Mammalia; Dasyuromorphia; Dasyuridae.
AAAUGGGAGCCCCCUCACUUCCCAACCGUACGGUGGGGAGAGGGGUGCAGCAGGCACACAGGAAGCCUUCGGCUCCUCGAGCUCCACAGGGCUGAUCUGCAGGUUUCCCUUCCUGAGGUCCUCCCCACACCAUCCUCCUGGCUUAUCAUUAGGAGGCAAAAAGUUGGCUUGGCUGGGACUGAGAAGAAGGGCAAGUUGGUGCUUCCUCUCCUUAAACCAUUCAAAACGACAUGAAGGAGUUACUCGUGUCUCUUCUGGGGACUGGGCAGAAGCAGAGGCUGGUCAGCAGGCAGGAAAUGGCCACACCAGGAAGGUGCCUCUCCCUCCAGUGUCCUCCUAAUAGCAUCGACCAGUAGCUGAAGAUUCCAUCCGUCUUUGGGCUGCCGUUUUUAAGUCCCCAACCCUGCAGCAUCUCUCCAGCGCCCUGAGAUUUAUCAGAAGUCACAUUCUGAAUGGAAUUCAGGAAUCAAGUGGCAAAGAUCUUUGGAGAUCCCGGCAUGCAAUUACCAAGGCUUGGUAACAAAUUUCAGGCAACUAAGAGGCUCUCUCAUCCUCUUCCAAAUGAAUCUUGGGUGCCAAUUUCCUAUUAAUCGUUUGAUCUAUGGCUCCUAAUAGAGAUCAUUUUUCUUGCUA